UCCUCAUUUUUGAGUUUUUAAGUGGGUUAGAGGAUGGUUUUCCCCUUCCUGGGGGGGAUGCAGAGCUCUUGGCGACCGCCUGGAUUUUUGGGGAUGAGGCGCCGCGGAAAGUUUGUCGCCUCUUUUGGAACCUCGGGCAUCUUCCAGCGCCGUCCUUCCCGGGCAGGAUUAUUGACUCCACGCUGUGGGAAUUCACCUCCUGAACACCUGCACCAGGACUGUCUGAAGUGCUCGGUGAGGUUCAGAUCCUUGUUUUUCCAGAGCCUUUGCAGAUUCCAAACCCGUGUCCUCGCUCUGUGCUGCUCCUCGGGCACAGCCUCCCGGUCCAGCCCAGCUGCUCCGUCAUUCCACUGGCUGGGGAAUCCAUAAAUCGCAUUCCUGAUCUCCUGGAAUCAUCGAGGCUGGAAAAGACUUCCAGGAUCCUCCAUUCCCGCCUGUGGCAGUGCUGGUCCUGGUGGUGUUCUCUCUCCUGGCUGCUCCUUGCCUGCUCCGAGUUUGGUUCUUUCCGCAGGGAUUUAUCCAGCCUGGAGCUUUUUCUGCCCGGUGGACAGAUGUGAUUUUAUAUCUGGGUAAAUACUGGGAAAUCAACUUCAUUCCAGGCCCAUAUGUGAAACAAAAAUGCUGCAGCGCUUUUAGGCUGGUCCCUAUGAAUGAAAGGAUCUACGAAUUAAUAAUCGUUGGAGUUGGAGCGUUGGGAAUUGGGAAUUAACUUGAUUUUGGGGGGGGGGGGGGGGUUUGAAAAUAAUUAAUCUGGUAAAACUUAGACUUUUGAUGAGCUCUCUAACGCCGCUUUGCCGGUGCCUCUCCUCCCCGCUUCGGGAGAGCGGAGUGAUUUUUGUGCGAUUUGGGAACGUUUUCCAGCGGGAAGGAUGGGGCCUGUCCCGAGGUGGAGGAAUGCGUGUUAAAUAAACAGCCAGCCUGGGCCCUG
Hirundo rustica (Barn swallow) is the source of this 928-nucleotide long non-coding RNA. RefSeq lists it as uncharacterized. The transcript has 3 exons. The record is from RefSeq and is a predicted model, not a curated record. Lineage: Eukaryota; Metazoa; Chordata; Aves; Passeriformes; Hirundinidae.